GAUGAACGCUAGCGGCAGGCCUAAUACAUGCAAGUCGGACGGGAUUCAGGAGCUUGCUUCUGAUGAGAGUGGCGCACGGGUGCGUAACACGUAUGUAACCUACCUUUAUCAGGGGGAUAGCCUCUCGAAAGAGAGAUUAAGCCCGCAUAAAAUCACAGCACAGCAUUGUGUAAUGAUCAAAUAUUUAUAGGAUAAAGAUGGGCAUGCGGAACAUUAGCUAGAUGGCGGGGUAACGGCCCACCAUGGCGACGAUGUUUAGGGGAUCUGAGAGGAUGGCCCCCCAAAAUGGUACCGAGGCCCGGACCAGAAUCCUACGGGAGGCAGCAGUAAGGAAUAUUGGUCAAUGGGCGGAAGCCUGAACCAGCCAUGCCGCGUGCAGGAAGACGGCCCUACGGGUUGUAAACUGCUUUUAUACGGGAAUAAACCCAGAUACGUGUAUCUGGCUGAAUGUACUGUAAGAAUAAGGAUCGGCUAACUCCGUG
RNAcentral lists this ribosomal RNA (482 nucleotides) under uncultured bacterium. RNAcentral describes it as "partial 16S ribosomal RNA". It matches the Rfam family "Bacterial small subunit ribosomal RNA", at positions 28 to 507 of the family's 1533-position model. The record is from RNAcentral.